This 418-nucleotide ribosomal RNA is filed under the name Eimeria ovinoidalis. RNAcentral's name for it is "SSU rRNA". It matches the Rfam family "Eukaryotic small subunit ribosomal RNA", at positions 466 to 888 of the family's 1831-position model. The record is from RNAcentral. Lineage: Eukaryota; Apicomplexa; Conoidasida; Eucoccidiorida; Eimeriidae.
AGUGACGAGAAAUAACAAUACAGGGCAUUUUAUGCUCUGUAAUUGGAAUGAUGGGAAUGUAAAACCCUUCCAGAGUAACAAUUGGAGGGCAAGUCUGGUGCCAGCAGCCGCGGUAAUUCCAGCUCCAAUAGUGUAUAUUAGAGUUGUUGCAGUUAAAAAGCUCGUAGUUGGAUUUCUGCUGUGGUCAUCCGGUACCGCCCGUAUGGGUGCGCACCUGGUUUGGCUCCGGCUUUCUUCCUGUAGCCGUCCGCGCUUAAUUGCGCGUACUGUGUUACGGAACUUUUACUUUGAGAAAAAUAGAGUGUUUCAAGCAGGCUUGUCGCCCUGAAUACUUCAGCAUGGAAUAAUAGGAUAGGACCUUGGUUCUAUUUUGUUGGUUUCUAGGACCAAGGUAAUGAUUAAUAGGGACAGUGGGGGG